AUUGAACGCUGGCGGCAUGCUUUACACAUGCAAGUCGAACGGUAACAGGUUAAGCUGACGAGUGGCGAACGGGUGAGUAAUGCAUCGGAACGUGCCCGAUCGUGGGGGAUAACGCAGCGAAAGCUGCGCUAAUACCGCAUACGAUCUGAGGAUGAAAGCGGGGGACCGUAAGGCCUCGCGCGAUCGGAGCGGCCGAUGUCAGAUUAGGUAGUUGGUGGGGUAAAGGCUCACCAAGCCAACGAUCUGUAGCUGGUCUGAGAGGACGACCAGCCACACUGGGACUGAGACACGGCCCAGACUCCUACGGGAGGCAGCAGUGGGGAAUUUUGGACAAUGGGCGAAAGCCUGAUCCAGCAAUGCCGCGUGCAGGAAGAAGGCCUUCGGGUUGUAAACUGCUUUUGUACGGAGCGAAAAGGCUCUCUCUAAUACAGGGGGCUCAUGACGGUACCGUAAGAAUAAGCACCGGCUAACUACGUGCCAGCCGCCGCCGUAA
This 493-nucleotide ribosomal RNA is filed under the name uncultured bacterium. RNAcentral describes it as "partial 16S ribosomal RNA". It matches the Rfam family "Bacterial small subunit ribosomal RNA", at positions 30 to 523 of the family's 1533-position model. The record is from RNAcentral.